RNAcentral lists this ribosomal RNA (206 nucleotides) under uncultured bacterium. Its description in RNAcentral is "partial 16S ribosomal RNA". It matches the Rfam family "Bacterial small subunit ribosomal RNA", at positions 568 to 774 of the family's 1533-position model. The record is from RNAcentral.
UGCGUAGGCUGCGCUGUAAGUCAGAUGUGAAAUCCCGGGGCUCAACCCCGGAACUGCAUCCGAUACUGCGGUGCUUGAGGACUGGAGAGGAGAUUGGAAUUCAUGGUGGAGCAGUGAAAUGCGUAGAUAUCAUGAGGAACGCUAGUGGCGUAGGCGAAUCUCUGGACAGUUCUGACGCUGAGGCACGAAGGCCAGGGGAGCAAACG